This 250-nucleotide ribosomal RNA is filed under the name uncultured Chroococcidiopsis sp. RNAcentral's name for it is "partial 16S ribosomal RNA". It matches the Rfam family "Bacterial small subunit ribosomal RNA", at positions 796 to 1044 of the family's 1533-position model. Lineage: Bacteria; Bacillati; Cyanobacteriota; Cyanophyceae; Chroococcidiopsidales; Chroococcidiopsidaceae. The record is from RNAcentral.
CUAGCUGUAAACGAUGGAUACUAGGCGUUGAGAGUAUCGACCCUCUCAGUGUCGUAGCUAACGCGUUAAGUAUCCCGCCUGGGGAGUACGCGCGCAAGCGUGAAACUCAAAGGAAUUGACGGGGGCCCGCACAAGCGGUGGAGUAUGUGGUUUAAUUCGAUGCAACGCGAAGAACCUUACCAGGGCUUGACAUGUCCGGAACCCUGCCCAAAGGCCGGGGUGCCUACGGGAACCGGAACACAGGUGGUGC